ACAGAGGGGGCAAGCGUUGUUCGGAAUUACUGGGCGUAAAGGGCGCGUAGGCGGCCCUCUAAGUCGAACGUGAAAUCCCUCGGCUCAACCGGGGAACUGCGUGUGAUACUGGCGGGCUUGAAUUCGGGAGAGGGAUGUGGAAUUCCAGGUGUAGCGGUGAAAUGCGUAGAUAUCUGGAGGAACACCUGUGGCGAAGGCGGCGCACUGGACCACAACUGACGCUGAGGCGCGAAAGCUAGGGGAGCAAACAGGA
Molecule: ribosomal RNA, 253 nt
Filed under: uncultured prokaryote
Description: partial 16S ribosomal RNA
Rfam family: Bacterial small subunit ribosomal RNA
Source: RNAcentral